Long non-coding RNA from Sebastes umbrosus (honeycomb rockfish), 205 nucleotides. RefSeq lists it as uncharacterized. The record is from RefSeq and is a predicted model, not a curated record. Lineage: Eukaryota; Metazoa; Chordata; Actinopteri; Perciformes; Sebastidae. The transcript is spliced from 2 exons.
UUACGUGCACUAAAAGUGCUUGUUUUUGCCAUGACAGGCUCCGAUUGUUAUUAUAAGUGUCUGACAAUAUUAUGGAAAGGACCCUACAGAGAAAUAACAUGUUUUUCUCAACUUUUUCUUGAUCCAGUCUGUUAGUUAUUGUGUCCAAGUCCCGCUCAAAGAGAAGUCUGGUUGUGAAAUCUGAAUAUUUGUAUACUCUGGCUCA